Molecule: long non-coding RNA, 515 nt
Organism: Pollicipes pollicipes
Lineage: Eukaryota; Metazoa; Arthropoda; Thecostraca; Pollicipedomorpha; Pollicipedidae
Exons: 4
Source: RefSeq, a predicted model, not a curated record
CGCUCGGAUGUUCGCUAUCGUAGAUAUUUAAGUUCCGAGGUUUUCAACUUCCCACCACACACUGCACACUGAUGUCUGAUCCUGACCGAACAAUAUGGUGUGGCAAUGUCUCUGGUGAGGUGACAGAUGAAGUUCUGUAUGAAUUAUUCUUACAGGCGGGACCACUGGAAAGGGUGCGCCGGCCGCGGGACCAGAGGACGGGCGAUCCGCGCCCCUUCGCCUUCGUCACCUACGAGGACGAGGAGUCGGUGCCGUACGCGCUCGAGCUGUACCGCGACACCAAGCUGUUCGGUCGAGUGCUCCGACUGCAGGCGCAAGGCGGCCAGCAGCAUGACAAGCAGCAGCUGGCGUCGAACGGUCGCCCCGUCCGGCGCUUGAUCGAGUCCGGCGGAGGAGCCCGGGCAGAACGCGCCGACCAUAGGCACAGCGACCGGACAGCGGGUCGCUUUAGUGAACGCGGGUCGGAGAGACACAGCGUCCGCCGUCCCGACCGCCACACUGACCGCGGUACGGAG